GACGAACGCUGGCGGCGUGCUUAACACAUGCAAGUCGAACGGAAAGGCCCUGCUUUUGUGGGGUGCUCGAGUGGCGAACGGGUGAGUAAAAGGUGAGUAACCUGCCCUUGACUUUGGGAUAACUUCAGGAAACUGGGGCUAAUACCGGAUAGGAGCUCCUGCUGCAUGGUGGGGGUUGGAAAGUUUCGGCGGUUGGGGAUGGACUCGCGGCUUAUCAGCUUGUUGGUGGGGUAGUGGCUUACCAAGGCUUUGACGGGUAGCCGGCCUGAGAGGGUGACCGGCCACAUUGGGACUGAGAUACGGCCCAGACUCCUACGGGAGGCAGCAGUGGGGAAUAUUGCACAAUGGGCGGAAGCCUGAUGCAGCGACGCCGCGUGCGGGAUGACGGCCUUCGGGUUGUAAACCGCUUUCGCCUGUGACGAAGCGUGAGUGACGGUAAUGGGUAAAGAAGCACCGGCUAACUACGUG
This 468-nucleotide ribosomal RNA is filed under the name uncultured bacterium. RNAcentral describes it as "partial 16S ribosomal RNA". It matches the Rfam family "Bacterial small subunit ribosomal RNA", at positions 28 to 507 of the family's 1533-position model. The record is from RNAcentral.